AACGAACGCUGGCGGCAUGCCUAACACAUGCAAGUCGAACGAACCCUUCGGGGUUAGUGGCGCACGGGUGCGUAACGCGUGGGAACCUGCCUUUAGGUUCGGAAUAACUCAGAGAAAUUUGAGCUAAUACCGGAUAAUGUCUUCGGACCAAAGAUUUAUCGCCUUUAGAUGGGCCCGCGUUAGAUUAGAUAGUUGGUGGGGUAAUGGCCUACCAAGUCGACGAUCUAUAGCUGGUCUGAGAGGAUGAUCAGCCACACUGGGACUGAGACACGGCCCAGACUCCUACGGGAGGCAGCAGUGGGGAAUAUUGGACAAUGCGGGAAACCGUGAUCCAGCAAUGCCGCGUGAGUGAUGAAGGCCUUAGGGUUGUAAAGCUCUUUUACUAGGGAUGAUAAUGACAGUACCUAGAGAAUAAGCUCCGGCUAACUCCG
RNAcentral lists this ribosomal RNA (431 nucleotides) under uncultured Erythrobacter sp. RNAcentral describes it as "bacterial SSU rRNA". It matches the Rfam family "Bacterial small subunit ribosomal RNA", at positions 29 to 505 of the family's 1533-position model. Lineage: Bacteria; Pseudomonadati; Pseudomonadota; Alphaproteobacteria; Sphingomonadales; Erythrobacteraceae. The record is from RNAcentral.